Molecule: transfer RNA, 75 nt
Filed under: Rhizobium sp. Leaf341
Lineage: Bacteria; Pseudomonadati; Pseudomonadota; Alphaproteobacteria; Hyphomicrobiales; Rhizobiaceae
Description: tRNA-Met
Rfam family: tRNA
About the family: Transfer RNA (tRNA) molecules are approximately 80 nucleotides in length. Their secondary structure includes four short double-helical elements and three loops (D, anti-codon, and T loops).
Source: RNAcentral
GCGGGUUAGAGAAGCGGUCAUCUCGUCUGGCUCAUAACCAGAAAAUCAUGGGUUCGAAUCCCAUACCCGACACCA